UCUGGGUGGCAUGGUUAUGUGCCGUUGCUCUUGGCUUGGCUUUGACCUUGUCAGGGCGAUUCGGUGUCGUGCCGUGCAACCUUUUUGCCGUAUCUGUUUCGACAGGUGCUGAUAGGCCAUGUGCUUGUUAGCAUGCUUCCAGAUGCCUUUAAACGGGUGUCGGUGGCAGACGGCACGUUUACUUUGAACAAAUUUGAGUGCUCAAAGCAGGCUUAUGCCUGAAAAUUCUUGCAUGGAAUAAUGGAAUAGGACUUCGGUUCUAUUUUGUUGGUUUUCGGAUCCAAGUAAUGG
This 291-nucleotide ribosomal RNA is filed under the name Diphterostomum cf. brusinae. RNAcentral describes it as "partial 18S ribosomal RNA". The stretch from base 164 to 291 matches the Rfam family "Eukaryotic small subunit ribosomal RNA", at positions 737 to 868 of the family's 1831-position model. The record is from RNAcentral. Lineage: Eukaryota; Metazoa; Platyhelminthes; Trematoda; Plagiorchiida; Zoogonidae.